AAAUUUUUUAUGAUUUGAAAAAUUUAUUAUGAAUUUAUUUUACAUAUAAAUUUUAGUGAGAAAAUAUAAUUAUUUAAAUAAUAAUUAUUUAAUUAAUGUAGUAAUUAACUUUAAAAAUUUAAGGAAUUAAGAUUUAGUAAUAUAUAAUAUUAAUAACAAAUUUUGUGCCAGCAGUUGCGGUUAAACAAAAAUUAAUUUAAAUUUUUUUAGUAAUUAAUAAAUAAUAAAUAAAAAAUUAUUAGGUGAAAUUUUAAUUUAUAAAAAAAUUUAAAUAAAUUAUGAUUUAAUAAAUUAAUAAAUAAACUAGGAUUAGAUACCCUAUUAUUAAAAUUUAAAUUAAAAAUACUAAAAUAGUAUGUAUUUAAAUAUAUUGAAACUUAAAUAAUUUGGCGGUAUUUUAGUUCAUUUAGAGGAAUCUGUUUAAUAAUUGAUAAUCCACGAAUAAAUUUACUUAAUUUUUUUUUCUUUGUAUAUCGUUGUUAAAAAAAUAUUUUUUAAAAAUAAUAAUAUUUUAAAAUUAAAAUAAAAAAUUAAAUCAAAUCAAGAUGCAGGUAAUAAUUAAGAAUAUAAUGGAUUACAAUAAAAAUAUUUAUAUGAAUAAUUAAUUGAAAAAUUAAUUUAAAGGUGGAUUUAAAUGUAAUUAUUUUUAGUUUAAAAUAAUGAUUAAAAUUUAAAAUAUGUACAUAUUGCCCGUCGCUUUCAUUUAAAAAUUGAAAUAAGUCGUAACAAAGUAGAAGUACUGGAAAGUGUUUCUAGAAAGAU
This 762-nucleotide non-coding RNA is filed under the name Hieromantis kurokoi. The record is from RNAcentral. Lineage: Eukaryota; Metazoa; Arthropoda; Insecta; Lepidoptera; Stathmopodidae.